This 584-nucleotide unclassified non-coding RNA is filed under the name Weniomeles bodinieri. Its description in RNAcentral is "Stranvaesia bodinieri partial contains small subunit ribosomal RNA, internal transcribed spacer 1, 5.8S ribosomal RNA, and internal transcribed spacer 2". The stretch from base 283 to 438 matches the Rfam family "5.8S ribosomal RNA". Lineage: Eukaryota; Viridiplantae; Streptophyta; Magnoliopsida; Rosales; Rosaceae. The record is from RNAcentral.
UAUCAUUUAGAAGAAGGAGAAGUCGUAACAAAGUUUUCGUAGGUGAACCGACGGAAUGAUCAUUGUCGAACCUGCACAACAGAAUGACCCGAGAACCAGUUUCAACGUCGGGGGUCGAUGGGCCUUCAGGCUCGACGUCCCCUUGUCCUGGGAGCCUGCUCCCGAGCGUACAAACGAACACCAGCGUGUAUUGCGCCAAGGAACCUGAACGAAAGAGCGCGCUCCCUUCGCCCCGGAAACGGUGUGCGCGCGGGUGUGUCGUCGUCUUCGAUAUGUCAAAAUAACUCUCCGCAACGGAUAUCUCGACUCUCGCAUCGAUGAAGAACGUAGCGGAAUGCGAUACUUGGUGUGAAUUGUAGAAUCUCAUGAACCAUCGAGUCUUUGAACGUAAGUUUCACCCGAAGCCGUCAGGCCGAUGGCACACCUGCCUGGGCGUCACACACUGUUGCCCCCUCCGUACCUUCCUCGGGAGUGUCGGGACGGGCGGUCCAUGGCCUCCCGUGCGUCACCCGGAUCGAUUGCCACAAAUACCGAGUCCUCGGCGACUAACGCCACGGCAAUCGAUGGUUGUCAAACCUCGGUUG